CUGUCUAGAAAAGUCUGUGGUCGUCAUCUAAACUCCGCUAGAUGACUGAAUCAGCAACAGCAUCGAGGCCUCUGAUCAUUUUAUUUAAUCACACAUCAACUAUCUAUCCAUGUUUCACCCAACAUAUUGUAGAUAAANCAUGUUUCACCCAACAUAUUUGUAGAUAAAAAAAAAAUACAUAUACAACUUAAAACGUGUAUAAAACAUUCAUUCAACACUUAUCUCAAAUAAACAAAUAAUAUAUAAACAAAUAACACAUAUUUUAUAGAGAAUACUUCGUAUCUAUGUGUUAGAAGAAAAUGAAUAUACACUCACUUGAUAAGACGAUGAUCGGACAACACUAGGGCUCUUUAAAGUAAUAUUCUUCGAUGAAACCGGGAUGUUUUCUCAAAAAUCGCGUUUCACACGGGUAGAGUUUUGGCACGAAAACUCUUUUUCUCGGGAUCCUUGAGGCUUCGGGACUUGCUUCGGGU
Molecule: long non-coding RNA, 473 nt
Filed under: Lactuca sativa (garden lettuce)
Lineage: Eukaryota; Viridiplantae; Streptophyta; Magnoliopsida; Asterales; Asteraceae
Description: long non-coding RNA (LSAT_LNC006011)
Source: RNAcentral